RNAcentral lists this ribosomal RNA (600 nucleotides) under uncultured bacterium. RNAcentral's name for it is "bacterial SSU rRNA". The stretch from base 1 to 460 matches the Rfam family "Bacterial small subunit ribosomal RNA", at positions 89 to 546 of the family's 1533-position model. The record is from RNAcentral.
GGCGAGUAGGCGCACGGGUGCGUAACGCGUUAGCACUCACCUUAUUACUGAGGGAACACCCGAGAUCGGGGCUAAUACCGCAUAACAUCAUGAAGUGGCAUCACUUUAUGAUCAAACCUCAGGGGUUAUAGAUGGGCAUGCGUGACAUUAGCUAGUUGGUGAGUAAACGGUCACCAGGCUACGAUGUCUAGGGGUCUGAAGGAUGAUCCCCCAAUGGUACUGAACCGGACCAGACUCCUACGGGAGGCAGCAGUCAAGGAAUAUUGGACAAUGGGCGCAAGCCUGAUCCAGCCAUGCCGCGUGCAGGAUGAAGGUGUUAUGCAUCGUAAACUGUUUUAUACAAGAAUAANACUCCUUCACGUGUGAAGGAUCGAAAUGUACUUGUAACGCAAUAAAGCAUCGGUAACACUCGUGCCCAAGCAGCCCGCGGAAAUACCGAAGGGAUGGCAAAGCGUUAUCCGGGAUACAUGGGGUUCAACAAGGGGUGGCCGUACGGCAGGGCCUUUAACAANAGGUACCAGCAGGGUUGGAAAAAGCCCCGGAAAGACNUNAAAACUCUUCGCGGAAACUAGCCCCAUCUGGAUAACUCGGAUACAANGU